This 389-nucleotide ribosomal RNA is filed under the name uncultured bacterium. RNAcentral describes it as "bacterial SSU rRNA". It matches the Rfam family "Bacterial small subunit ribosomal RNA", at positions 28 to 417 of the family's 1533-position model. The record is from RNAcentral.
GACGAACGCUGGCGGCGUGCUUAACACAUGCAAGUCGAGCGGUAAGGCCCUUUCGGGGGGUACACGAGCGGCGAACGGGUGAGUAACACGUGGGUGACCUGCCCUCAGCUCUGGGAUAAGCCUGGGAAACCGGGUCUAAUACUGGAUAUGACUCCAUGACGCAUGUUGUGGGGUGGAAAGCCUUGUGCGGCUGAGGAUGGGCCCGCGGCCGAUCAGCUUGUUGGUGGGGUGAUGGCCUACCAAGGCGACGACGGGUAGCCGGCCUGAGAGGGCGACCGGCCACACUGGGACUGAGACACGGCCCAGACUCCUACGGGAGGCAGCAGUGGGGAAUCUUGCGCAAUGGGCGAAAGCCUGACGCAGCGACGCCGCGUGAGGGAUGACGGCCU